AUCCAAGCAAUCCAUUAACUCCUCUCAGACAUGCUGUAUUCCCUGUCUUAGUUAAUGGUUCUAUAAUCCACCAAGUGGCUUUAGUCAGAAAUCUGACUUUUUGACUCCUCAUUUCAUUCCCUCUUUAUCUGGUCCCAAGCCAAAAACUGAUUAAGUUCUGUCAAUUUUAGUUCCAAAACAUUGCUUGAUUCCAAUCCCCUUCUCUCCAGCAUUCCAUCCAGUCCCUAUUUUCCUCCACCAUGUUUUUGAUAUCGUUCAGUUAUUAUAAAGCCUCCUAAAUGGUUCCCCUGUCUAGACCAAUUGUCUUUAGAUUUAAUCUAGUCUCCACAGAGUGAUUUCCAAAUAAUUUGUUUUAAAUGCAAUUCUGAGUGGCUCACUCCUGUUUAAAACUCUUUAUUGCCUCCUCCUUACCUAAGAAACAAAAGAACAAGCUCCUCAGAUAAAAAAAAAAAAAAAAAAAAGCAAGCAAGGAAGCAAGAAAGAGUUCUUGCCUUUCCUUAUAAUAUCUGAGUUUGCAGAGCCCACUUCCCCCAACCCAUGCUGUUAUAUCACUAGGCCUUGUUCAUAUUGUUCCCUUUAUCUAAUGUACCCUUUCUUUGCCAGUUUAAUCAUUGGGAUACUGCUUCAGCAUUUUCUCCAAGAAGUUCAUUCACAAGGCUAGGCCAAGAGGGAGGCAGAGCAAGACAGCUGGAUAGAAGCCUCCACCAAUCACCCUGCUCACAGCAACACCAAAAUGAACAAUUAUCCAUAAAAAAAAAAGGAACUUAACAAGAACCAAAAGUCAGCACCUGAAAGCAGGGAGGAGACAGUACAGUGAGGAAAAGCAUCUGACAAGGCCAGCUGGGGCAGAGGAUGGGAAGGAUGGAGACACCUUGGUUUGGAAGGCUAGGAAGCAGGCAAAGACUGGCUGUCACUUCAAAUCACUAACCGGGCCCACUGAUUCCAUCUACAAUCCUAACCCACCUCCUCGGGACUCCCUAUGCCUUCCUACCAGUGAAAUGCGAAAUAGCAGCACCUACCACAGCCAAGAGAGCACUUAACACAACAGCAGUUUAUGGACACGAAGAAGAGAAGGGAGAAUAAAGAGGAAAAUGAUGUUGAUCUAAAAGUCUCACUCUGGUCCCUUUUAUAAUAGAUAUUUUACUUUGAAAUAAACA
This 1157-nucleotide long non-coding RNA is filed under the name Homo sapiens (human). RNAcentral's name for it is "HSALNT0140952". Lineage: Eukaryota; Metazoa; Chordata; Mammalia; Primates; Hominidae. The record is from RNAcentral.